CAAAAUGUCUGGGUUUUAUUAGGGAAAAGCCUCUGGGAGAAGGGCAGCCCAGCUCCUGGGCGAGGAAGUUCAGGGUAGGGGGCAGAGUAUGCCAGCCAUACCUCGGAAUAGGAAGGAGCCAAAGAACGCUGGGAGAACCUGGAAGCCAGGUCCUCUUUAAUGUAUUAAAUAGGCACCUCAGCUGCUUGUCCAGGGUUUGAAACUUAACAGUGGGCACACAUCCCACUCCACAUUCCCUGCUUCCUUUGGUAACCAGAGAGCCGGCUUUCAGAAUCAGGCUAUGAACUGCAUUCCUUUCUCUGAGAGCUAUAGGAAGGGACGACAUCUCCCCCGUGUGGGCCUGAGUCCUCUCUUUAGAGCCACUGACGUGCUUUCUGUCUCUGGCACUGGGACCCGAGGUCUCCUCAGAGCAUCUAUCACACUGUCUGUCUGUCUGUCUGUCUGUCUGUCUGUCUGUCUGUGGUGCCAAGAGCCCGUGAUGAAAGGUUUCGGAUGUGGAUUUCAAGAGGGACACUUAAGAAUGACUAUUGGGGGUAAGAGUUACGGAGAACGAGAGAGAAAGGGGCGGACAUGGCGGCUCCGCUCGGCUCCCGCAGAGGACGGCUGAGCGCGCGCAGGGUCUGUGCGGCCGGCCUGCAGCCUUGCUUCGGCCUCCCGCUUCCUGCCUCCUUGCGCCGCCGCUAGCUUCUGCUCUGCUCUAGCCUGUCGGGCCUGCGUCCCGGAGAGGCAACGCGAGCCGGCCCGGCAAGGCUCCGCCGGCCCCUGCCCGCCGGCGGGCCGGCCUUCCUCCCCUCUCCCGGGAGCGGCGGGCGCAGCGUGGACCCGGUCCCCCUGGCUGGACCAUGGUGAACACCCGGAAGAGCUCUCUGCGCCUUCUCGGGUCCAAGUCUCCUGGGCCCGGGCCUGGGUCUGGGGCCGUAGCGGAGCCGGGGGCGACCUGCGGCAGCAGCCAUUUCAUCUCCUCUCGGACCCGCUCCUCCAAGACGCGCGCGGCCAGCUGCCCGGCAGCUAAGGCUGGGGGAAGCGGCGGCGCCCUGGACGAGGCCCGGAAGGCUGAGGUAGACGGAGGCUUAAGUGACAGCCACGUAUCUCCUCCAGCCAAACGCACUUUGAAGCAGCCGGAUUCUGUUUGCAAAGACAAAUCAAAAUCACGAGGCACUGGUCAGCGAGAGGAAUGGAACAUAACAUCUGCUCAGACCAGGUUAACUUCUCAGCCUGAUGCUGCAUUAUCCAACGGACAUAGUAGCUUGUCACUUCGAAGCCACCCCCUUCAGGGGGAAAAGAAAGGAGAUGGAGACCUUUCAUGUAUAAAUGGUGACAUGGAAGUCAGAAAGAGUUGUCGGUCCAGGAAAAACAGAUUUGAAAGUGUGAAUCAGAGUUUAUUAUUUGAUCAACUAGUAAAUAGUACUGCUGAAGCUGUUUUACAAGAAAUGGACAAUAUUAACAUCCGGCGAAAUCGCCGGUCAGGUGAAGUAGAGCGGCUUCGAAUGUGGACAGACACAGAAUUUGAAUAUAUGGAUAUGUAUUCAAGGGUAAAAAGACGAAGAAAAUCACUGAGAAGAAAUAGUUAUGGGAUACAGAAUCAUCAUGAAGUUUCUACUGAGGGCGAGGAGGAAGAAUCUCAAGAGGAGGAUGGAGACAUAGAGGUUGAAGAGACAAAAGGAGAAGAAAAUGAUAGACCAUAUAAUUUGAGACAAAGAAAAACAGUGGAUCAAUAACAAGCACCACCAAUAGGGUCCCCAGUUCACCUUCUCCCAGGAUGACUUUCUGAUUUCCAUCCUGCCAUCCCUCAAGGAAAUUGACACCAUGGUCUUCAUUUUUAUUCUGGAUGAUAACCUCACAGAAGUACAGGCCCUGGCUGAAAGGAUGAGGGAGAAGAGUCGGAGCAUCCAGGCCCUGGUGCACAGCACUGUCCUUGCCAGCCCCUCUAAAGAAACUCUUUCCCUUGAUCAUCAGCAUCACAUGGCCACUUCUUUUCUUCCAUUACGAGAGGAGCUACGUUCAGAGGUUCUCUGGACAAUCCAAGGCUCACUGCAUCGAGAGCCUUCUUCAAGUGAUCCAUUUUCCUCAACCACUGUCAGAUGAUGGCUGCAGCUUCUUCAGUCUGUGAAGUUGUUAGAAACAUCCUCUCUGGGCCGGGUCAGAAGCGCAGCACGCAAACCCUUGGAGACCCUACUGCCUGUGGUGCCCUGAAUUGAUGGAGGGGCAGAGCCCCCUCCAGUUCCCAGGGGACUUGUGCCAGCAAUACAGUUGUGGGGACAAUCUCAGUUUCGGGUGAGUGUGGCACUCACUAACAGCCCAGAAUUGGGAAAGAGUCCUGUUUUCAGCUGGAUCAUUUCCAUUUUUACUGGUGUCUUCUGAUCUCAGAAAUAAAACUGUCUUGUGUUGGAACCUAACCUUGC
Non-coding RNA from Arvicanthis niloticus (Nile rat), 2402 nucleotides. The record is from RefSeq and is a predicted model, not a curated record. NCBI's taxonomy places the organism in Eukaryota, Metazoa, Chordata, Mammalia, Rodentia, Muridae.